UCUGGCUCUGUAUGUGAGCAUCUGGUUUCGUUAUACUUUGCUUGUCGAAACUGUUUUUUCUUUCAAGCUGGUUCAUUAAUCAUGGCUUCUAAUACGAAUGCUGGUACCUCCUCCUCAGUAGCCUCUACCAGGUUUCGUUAUCCUUUGCUUGUCGAAACUGUUUUUUCUUUCAAGUCGGUUCAUUAAUCAUGGCUUCCAAUACGAAUGCUGGUACCUCCUCCUCAGUAGACUCUACCAGCCCCCUUUUUGUAUACUCCUUUGAUGUCCCUGGGGUCUGUCUUGUCCCCACUCCCUUCUCGGGAAGUGGUUAUGGGGGUUGGAGGAGAAAACUGAUUGUUGCAUUAUCUGCUAAAAAUAAAAUUGGUUUUGUUGAUGGCACAUGCUCCCGACCAGCCAUUAAUGUGUCUCAACAAAGGUUAUGGGAUAGGUGCAAUAACAUGGUGAUUUCUUGGUUAACUGCCUCACUCUCCCCUCAAAUUGCUGAAAG
RNAcentral lists this long non-coding RNA (487 nucleotides) under Nicotiana benthamiana. Its description in RNAcentral is "long non-coding RNA (NBEN_LNC038245)". Lineage: Eukaryota; Viridiplantae; Streptophyta; Magnoliopsida; Solanales; Solanaceae. The record is from RNAcentral.